This 342-nucleotide ribosomal RNA is filed under the name uncultured bacterium. RNAcentral describes it as "bacterial SSU rRNA". It matches the Rfam family "Bacterial small subunit ribosomal RNA", at positions 107 to 437 of the family's 1533-position model. The record is from RNAcentral.
UGAGUAACACGUGGGGAAUCUACCUUUUAGUGGGGAAUAACGCUCCGAAAGGAGUGGUAAUACCGCAUGAGACCUUCGGCUGGGAUGCUGGAGGUGAAACCUGGGGACCGCAAGGCCUGGGGCUAGAAGAGGAUCCUGCGUCUGAUUAGCUAGUUGGCGGGGUAAUGGCCCACCAAGGCGACGAUCAGUAGCCGGCCUGAGAGGGUGAUCGGCCACACUGGAACUGAGACACGGUCCAGACUCCUACGGGAGGCAGCAGUGGGGAAUUUUGCGCAAUGGACGAGAGUCUGACGCAGCAACGCCGCGUGGGUGAUGAAGGUCUUCGGACUGUAAAACCCUGUC